This 1667-nucleotide long non-coding RNA is filed under the name Olea europaea (common olive). RNAcentral describes it as "long non-coding RNA (OEUR_LNC005900)". The record is from RNAcentral. Lineage: Eukaryota; Viridiplantae; Streptophyta; Magnoliopsida; Lamiales; Oleaceae.
GACCAAAAGGACCCAUAGGCUUCUCGGCACGUCCUGGGAAAGAACUAAUGUUCAUAAUGAGUUCCCGUACCAUAGCGCUAGCUUCUUUGAUCUGAUCAAACGAACCUUCAAGCUCAAUAUUUCUUUGAUUUGGAUCUACUUCGUGAUCUUUUAUAGAAAGUUUAACCCCCGUCUGUCGACAAAUCUGCCUAGAGUUUACACCAUUUUUCCCAAUAAUGGUUCCAGCAAAAGAGGCAUCUAUGCUAAUUUUUGCGGUUGCUGAUGAACCAAAGUUUGCCACAGGUGUUGAUCCCAUUGCUCGAGAAUCUUCAUGACCUGGCCCCAUGGGCUUGCCAAGCUCCAUCUCACCGUGGGCAAAGCGGCACUUUUCACCGAAUCUGCAUCCUUCAGGAGUAUUAAUGUUGCUGCAAAGCUUGGUCUUCACAAUUCGAGGAGGACCAUCAGUAAAAGGAACAGCAGCAUUGCUGCCCAAUUUCGCCAUCUGGAUUUGUGCAUUGUAACCGGGAAAAUAAUGCUGGAAGUGACAUGUCUCGCCAAAUGAGCACCCAGAAGUGCUGCACCAUGCAUCAAACAGAAAAAUGAGGGGAAAAAAAUUACUAUGUAAGGUGAAGAAAUAAAUAAUAAUUUUGCUACACUUACACUAUGGUUGACAGCUUUGUUUACACUCUGAAAUGGACAAUAGUUUUACCAUUGAUUUUACUAAUACUUUUCUAAUCAAUGGCCUCGAUUUUGACACCCAACACCUAUUCUAAUCAAUGGCCCCGAUUUUAACACCUCAAAGGGUGUCAAACUAGUUGAACACCAUGCUUAAUUCAAUCAAAAAAAUUAUUAAACCAAAACUUAUGAUUUAAAUCCCCUUCAUGGGAUAAUUUUCAUCAGAAAACAAGUCACCAUGGGAGCACAUCAUUGUUGUACAGGGCCGCUGGCAUAUAUAUCAGUACCAUUUUAAUGCAAUAAAAUCUGUGCACUUCAUAUGAUUAGGAACAUGAUAAACGCCUUAGUGAUACAUCAAUUCUAAUAGAUAGAAUGUUCAUAAUAAGCACAAGGAUGAUAUGAAAUCAGUAGAGGAUCACAUUCUUGCAAAAAGUGAUUGUUUGAGGUAUCUUAGUUCACAAGGACAGAAUGGAAAAGGAUCAAGCAAUAAGAUUACAAUGGGUUGAAUUAAACAAAGUAAGUGAUACAUCAAUUCUAUGCAAUAGAAUGAUACCUAUAAGAAUAAGAAACGAGUGUGUACCCUGACCAAAAGGACCCAUAGGCUUCUCGGCACGUCCUGGGAAAGAACUAAUGUUCAUAAUGAGUUCCCGUACCAUAGCGCUAGCUUCUUUGAUCUGAUCAAACGAACCUUCAAGCUCAAUAUUUCUUUGAUUUGGAUCUACUUCGUGAUCUUUUAUAGAAAGUUUAACCCCCGUCUGUCGACAAAUCUGCCUAGAGUUUACACCAUUUUUCCCAAUAAUGGUUCCAGCAAAAGAGGCAUCUAUGCUAAUUUUUGCGGUUGCUGAUGAACCAAAGUUUGCCACAGGUGUUGAUCCCAUUGCUCGAGAAUCUUCAUGACCUGGCCCCAUGGGCUUGCCAAGCUCCAUCUCACCGUGGGCAAAGCGGCACUUUUCACCGAAUCUGCAUCCUUCAGGAGUAUUAAUGUUGCUGCAAAGCUUGGUCUUCACAAUUCG